Molecule: long non-coding RNA, 263 nt
Organism: Mya arenaria
Lineage: Eukaryota; Metazoa; Mollusca; Bivalvia; Myida; Myidae
Exons: 3
Source: RefSeq, a predicted model, not a curated record
AAUCAAUCUGCUUAGCAACAACAGAAGGAGCACUGCACAGCAGCUCACUCAAUGUUUCCAUGGUAACCAGCUGAAGGUCAAGGUCAUCUUGUAGCAAAGACUGGAUCAGAAGAGGGUAGAUCUGCAAUUAAAAGAAUGAUGACCUGCUUAUCCAGGCCUUGCAUCAUAUAGGAAAGGGCAAAGUACACAAGACUGUCUGAAGAGAUUCCCCUGAAAAAAAGAAGAGACAUACAGAGGAAUCAAAACACAAACAAAUGCCAAUG